GCAUGUCUAAGUAUAAGCAAUUAUACAGCGAAACUGCGAAUGGCUCAUUAUAUAAGUUAUCGUUUAUUUGAUAGUACCUUACUACUUGGAUAACCGUGGUAAUUCUAGAGCUAAUACAUGCUAAAAAUCCCGACUCACGAAGGGAUGUAUUUAUUAGAUUAAAAACCAAUGCCCUCUGGGCUUCUUGGUGAUUCAUAAUAACUUCUCGAAUCGCAUGGCCUUGCGCCGGCGAUGGUUCAUUCAAAUUUCUUCCCUAUCAACUUUCGAUGUUUGGGUAUUGGCCAAACAUGGUCGCAACGGGUAACGGAGGGUUAGGGCUCGACCCCGGAGAAGGAGCCUGAGAAACGGCUACUACAUCCAAGGAAGGCAGCAGGCGCGCAAAUUACCCAAUCCGAUUCGGGGAGGUAGUGACAAUAAAUACUGAUACAGGGCUCUUUUGGGUCUGUAAUUGGAAUGAGUACAAUUUAAAUGUGUUAACGAGGAACAAUUGGAGGGCAAGUCUGGUGCCAGCAGCCGCGGUAAUUCCAGCUCCAAUAGCGUAUAUUAAAGUUGUGUGGUUAAAAAGCUGUAGCCGAACCUUGGGCUCGGCCGGCCGGUCCGUCUCACCACGUGUACUGGCCUGGCCGGGCCUUUCCCUCUGUGGAACCCCAUGCCCUUCACUGGGUGUGGCGGGGAAACAGGACUUUUACUUUGAAAAAAUUAGAGUGCUCCAGGCAGGCCUAUGCUCGAAUACAUUAGCAUGGAAUAAUAAAAUAGGACGUGUGGUUCUAUUUUGUUGGUUUCUAGGACCGCCGUAAUGAUUAAUAGGGACAGUCGGGGGCAUCAGUAUUCAAUUGUCAGAGGUGAAAUUCUUGGAUUUAUUGAAGACUAACUAACUGCGAAAGCAUUUGCCAAGGAUGUUUUCAUUAAUCAGGAACGAAAGUUAGGGGAUCGAAGACGAUCAGAUACCGUCGUAGUCUUAACCAUCGAAACUAUGCCGACUCAGGGAUCGGACGAUGUUAUUUUUUGACUCGUUCGGCACCUCAGACGAGAAAUCAAAGUGCUUGGGCUCCAGGGGGAGUAUGGUCGCAAGGCUGAAACUUAAAGAAAUUGACGGAAGGGCACCAAUUCCAGGGGCUUAACACCUACAUAAAUCCGCAUUACCUCUGCUCCGAAAAACAGCCCGAAGGGGUCAGUGGUGUGCCUGCCUGCGCUCCGGGCGCGGCGAACCAAGUGCUAUUCUCCUCUGGAGGCGACACCCUCAAACUGCGGGAAACUCCUAAAGCCAUUGUCACCAACCCGGCGUCCAAAGGCUUCGGUGGCCGGGGUAAUGACCUAGGGUACGGUAACAGCACACUGGAUAAUGCAAUGGCCGAUCCGCACCCAACCCCCGUCGCCGCAGGCACGGGGAAGGUUCAGAGACUAAAUGGGGGUGGGUAGUGAAGAGACCGAUGUAGUAUUGAUUGAAAGCAAUAAACUGUAUUCAUUCAUUCAUAAUAAACCAAUAGCACCAGAAACAACCCAGAAUACCCCGUCUAGUGUACAUUAAGAGUGCCUGCCUGUGAGGCUAAUCACAAUUUUGGUGGCUGUCCGUUUCUAUACAACCCGUUCCCUGGCAUCUGGCGGACGGAAAGGUUGCAACGCUUCCGGGGGCAACAUCGUUAUUGAUUGCAGGAGUGGUAUCCAUAUUCCCUCAUGCGGGCCCUUGAAGUAAACGUGUUCUCGGUCCCUGGCAUUUUAUUCCGGGCGGGUUUCACAUUGGGUUCUUCACCGACAAUAUGUUUUUGGAUUAAAGCAAGCCUUCGUUGUGGCAUAAUUGGGAAAUUUCGAUUUUUUCCGAUCCCCUUGGUUUGUUCCUUUCGUUAAUUGUCCCCCAGGAGUUUGUUUUUCCCGGAGCCCAGAACGGCCAGGUUGUGAAAGUACCCCUUCUUUCAUGCGGAUUUCUCUUGUUGGUUUGCCCGCCCGUCUAUGAGCGCGUGUUCCCCAGUUUGAUCGAGUUGUACCCCUUUCUCAUGUGUUGGGGGCCGGCUUGACAACCAGCAGCCCGCUUGGGUUAUCGAGGUCGGUCGAUCGUCCCAGUAGCCGCCUAGCGUGCCGCGGGUCGAUUAGCUGCCAUUUCCUUCUCGUCUUGCUCCGAAAGCUUCGCUCCCAGCGAGCUAUCGAUCCGCUACGGCGCGGGACUGCCCGGUCGAUUAUGGCCGCGCGCUCUUGGACGACGGUGGAGGCAGUGUCGACGGUGUCGGGUCGUACGUUGCCCUGGUAUAGGAACCGCUGGACUGUGUCGUAGUGCUCCUUUUCCAUGGUCGCGAUACGGGUGUCCCGCCUCGAGAUCUCUGCUUUCAGACCGGCGAACAGGCGAGCCAGGGCCUGCUCGGGCGGAAGCUGGCCGCUUCGCAUCUGAACCAUGAGAUUGUCAUAGUUGCUUUUCAUUUGAUCGUUGCUGAGUAGUGGUCGGCUCAUUGUGAUGCUGGCCGGCGGCUGCUUGGAACAGGAAGAUGAAUGAGGGAAGAAUACAGUGGAAGGCUUGCAUUGUUGCUGCGUCGGUUGUUUUAUAUAGAUGCGCCAGCCCUCGCGGUGAAUCACGAAGAUUUGCUGCGAGGCGGUGGUUGACCGCCACGAGGCGGGCGCUUAACGCUGCUAGGCGGGCGCAUAUAUUCACUGCUUAAGAUAUAGUCCGGCCGCUGCGGAAACGCUGGGGAUUGGAAAGCCCAAUAACGGGAGCCUGCGAAUUUGACUCAACACGGGGAAACUCACCAGGUCCAGACACGUCAAUGAGGAUUGACAGAUUGAGAGCUCUUUCUUGAUUUUGUGGGUGGUGGUGCAUGGCCGUUCUUAGUUGGUGGAGUGAUUUGUCUGUUUAAUUGCAUAACGAACGAGACCUUAACCUGCUAAAUAGCCAGUAUUGCUUUGGCAGUACG
RNAcentral lists this ribosomal RNA (2897 nucleotides) under Blackwellomyces pseudomilitaris. RNAcentral describes it as "bacterial SSU rRNA". The stretch from base 1 to 1177 matches the Rfam family "Eukaryotic small subunit ribosomal RNA". Lineage: Eukaryota; Fungi; Ascomycota; Sordariomycetes; Hypocreales; Cordycipitaceae. The record is from RNAcentral.